AGACUGUGGUGUGGACAGCAUCUCAACAAAUCCUUGUAUCUCUCCCAGUCAUCAUACAUGCUUUUUUCUUCCAUCUGAACAAAAGAUGAAUUGUCAUUCCUUAAUUU
Ricinus communis (castor bean) is the source of this 107-nucleotide non-coding RNA. Lineage: Eukaryota; Viridiplantae; Streptophyta; Magnoliopsida; Malpighiales; Euphorbiaceae. The record is from Rfam.